Long non-coding RNA from Tribolium castaneum (red flour beetle), 538 nucleotides. RefSeq lists it as uncharacterized. The transcript is spliced from 2 exons. The record is from RefSeq and is a predicted model, not a curated record. Lineage: Eukaryota; Metazoa; Arthropoda; Insecta; Coleoptera; Tenebrionidae.
UAUUAUAAAUUAUUGCCAACUUGCGACAGAUUAAUCUAGGUGUUAAGAAAGUCAGUAAACGAUUUGCCUUCAGCUCGAUUCGCCUUUUUUGGACAUGAAAAACACAGUGAAAAGAUGAGCGACUGAGUCUGCUGGAUGGAAUAAAAAGUGUUUUGCCCCCUCUUUGUGCCAACACCGCGCUAUAAAAUUGGGAAGGGUGUCAGUGAUGGCACAUUCUGGCGUCGGUCGCGUCGCGUCCACGUACACCCUGGACGGCGGCGUCGUCGCCUGGGGGCACCAGGUCUCCCCCAGGUGGUCGCGUCGCGACAUCCGCACUCGCCCAACCAUACGGAAACGGGCUUUCACUCUGUGCAUGUCUGGGAGCUUUAAAUUUGUGCAUAUGGAUAACGUGCCGAAGUGAGGUUAUGUGACCAGGCUACACAUGGACAGGAAGCCAUCUUGGAUUUUGGCCAUCCUACCAUCUUAUAAUCAGUGGAGUGAUCUCUUUUCUACAUUAAAGAAUUACUUUUAUAACUAAAUAAAAGUGCUUUUGAGUUUA